CAGAGGGUAUUUUAAGUUAAAAUGUUAAUUUUGGGGAUUAAUGAUGGGGUUUUCCUCUCUCUGA
Molecule: transfer RNA, 64 nt
Filed under: Anacanthotermes sp.
Lineage: Eukaryota; Metazoa; Arthropoda; Insecta; Blattodea; Hodotermitidae
Description: tRNA-Pro
Source: RNAcentral